UUUAUAGCAGAAAUCGCGCCAAAAAUCUCCAUGGAGGGCUUACAACACUAAAUCAGUUUCAUUUUGUAAUAGGAACAAUUAUAAGUUAGAGGACACUUAGGGCCUGCUUUGGUUGCUCUUUACAAUCCACUUCAACUUGCAGCUUCAGCCUUUUUAUCAAGAGUUUUCCUCGGAUACCGUAUUUAUUUGGGAAGACGGUUCUGGGGUGAGGUGCCUCAAUUGCGUUUAAUGUCUAUUUAUGGUCAAAAAGCUCAAGUUCCUAGUGCAAUUAUCAUCGAUGGUGAAUGUCCUUAACGUCUAUUCUUACUCCCAAAUUAUUUUUGAGUUGAGAAUGCGCAACCUUUACUUUUAUAAGUUGAGAUAUAUUGACAUACUUGGAUUAAUCUUGCUUGUGUUGCUGCUGCCAUAUUGUGGAUAAUGGUCCCUGGUUCUCAGUCCUCAUAUUUUCUAGUCUUUGUUGGUCUCUAUUAGCAACUUUCUUCCUAUUGUAUUUGACAUCAUUGAGUUGCUGACUGAAAUUUUUUCUU
Rosa rugosa (rugosa rose) is the source of this 527-nucleotide long non-coding RNA. RefSeq lists it as uncharacterized. The record is from RefSeq and is a predicted model, not a curated record. The transcript is spliced from 3 exons. Lineage: Eukaryota; Viridiplantae; Streptophyta; Magnoliopsida; Rosales; Rosaceae.